This is a non-coding RNA of Dipodomys ordii (Ord's kangaroo rat), 70 nucleotides long. Lineage: Eukaryota; Metazoa; Chordata; Mammalia; Rodentia; Heteromyidae. The record is from Rfam.
GGGAAGGUGGCUCAGUGGUAGAGCUCUUGCCUUGCAGGCAUGAGGUCCUAGGUUCGAUUCCUCAGUACCA